This 5705-nucleotide long non-coding RNA is filed under the name Canis lupus familiaris (dog). RNAcentral's name for it is "lncRNA (ENSCAFG00845029642.1)". Lineage: Eukaryota; Metazoa; Chordata; Mammalia; Carnivora; Canidae. The record is from RNAcentral.
UUGCCUAUUUAUAUGUUUUGCUGCCCCAGCUUGGCUUAGUCAAACAAAAUGGCUAGAUGUAAUUAUCCAUUUUUAAUAACCACAUAAUAUUUCAAAAUAAAUAUAUUUCAUAAUUUAUUCAGUGGUUGCCAUGUUACCAGAUAUUCAGAAUGGUUCUAGUCUUUUGCUCUAACUACUAAUGCUACAUUAAGUGUCCUUAUAAAUAGAUCCCUACCAAGAGAUGUUUAUAGUACAUUAGUAGAAAUUUCUAAAUGUAUUGCUGAGCCAAAAUACUGACAUCUCUGCGUACUUUUGAUUUUAAUAAGUACUGACGGCUAACUUUUCUUUAAAAAAUAUUCAAACUCACAUACACCAUCAGUAUGAGAACAUGCCAGACUCACAUUCUUGCCAGCCUUGCUGUUAUCAGCUUUGGACUAGGCAUGCAUGCCCUGGAGUCAGAAUGCCUUGGAGCAAAGCUCAUUUCCACUAUUUACUACAUAUUUAUAUAUUUUUUGAUCAGUGUUAAAUUUAUAAACUAGAUACACACUCCCUAAGAGGUAGAAUCGUAUCUAUUUUUCUCUUCAUUGUAUUCUCUGUGCCCAGAAACUAUGUCUUGAACAUAAUGUCCAAAUGUGAUGUGUUAUUUUCAAUAGUAGGAACUUUCUGUGUAUCACUGAUAUUAAACCUUUCUUUUUUUGUUCAAGUUACAAAUAUUUUCCUAUGUUAUCUUUGUCUUAAAGACGCUUUAUUGAAUCAAAUAUUCAACAGUCUUUCCAUUAUCAUUUCUGCAUUUAUCUUGUUCUCUUCUCCUAUAGGGUUUUUAAAAUGUUAUCCAAAAUAGUUUUCUAACAUUUUUUAUAAAAUUUUAUUUUUUUAUAAAAUUUUAACAUUUUUUAUAAAAUUUUCUGUCUGCCUCAGUCAGAAGAGCACGCGAUUCUUGAUCUCAGGGUCAUGAGUUCAAGCCCCACAUUGGGUGUAGUGGUGACAAAAAAAAAUUUUUAAAUAACAAAAUUUAAUAGACAAGUAUGUCAAGAACAUGUGGUAAAUAAGCCAGUAUUUCUUUACUAGACUGUAAUUCUACUUUUAUCAUAAAUGGAGUUUCCCACAUAGAUUUGAAUUUAAAUUUGGAGUGUUUAAUCUAAACCAUUCAUCUAUUUAGCAUAUUCUUGUUUCAAAAAAAAAACUGUUGAAUUCAAAUAUAUUAUUCUUGCUGAAUCAGGAGUUCCUUAAUGUGUGCACAAUUAUAUUUACUAUUUAAUGUAAUACAUGAUUUUAACAUAUAUCAGUUGUAUAUCUAUAUGACCACUGUAUUUGGUUAUCUUUCCCACUAGAUUGUAAGAUCAUUGAGAACUAGAAACAGGAUGUUCAUUCUGUAUCUUCACUGUGUAGUGCACUGCAUGUUAUGUUAUACUUAAAAAUGUUUUAUGAAUAAAUAAUAAUUGAAUGCACAUGCAAAUUCCUAAGUUCUAAAUGUGAUACCGGACAUUAAAGUCAUCAUACCACUGACAUUUCAUUCCUUUAGAUGGAAGAGGUAACUGGCAAAACAAUUUUAUGGGGUUAUGUGACUGUUUAUUAUAUAGUUUAGUGUAUGUUUACUGACAUUGAUACAAUAUGUGCCAUGACUGUGCAUGUGAAUAUGACUGAUGAAAAGGACAGCAAAUCCAUAAUAAACAGAGACACUAUAAUUCUGUGUCCAGAAAAUUCUUCUCCUCCAAAGAUUCAAGAUUCAGAGCUUCUAAAAUCCCCUUCUUUUAGUUCCCAAACAUUCUCCAUUGUCUACAGAUUCUAUGACACAACCCUUCUUGUGAACAGAGAGAUUACAUGUUUUUAGACCAUCAACACCCAACUACAUUUUCUCUUCGAGCAUCAGGAGAACUCUAAUUGUAUUGAAAAAGGAGGAUUCUGGUCCCAAAAUAAUUACACAUAGGAAGCAUUUUCCAUGGGGAUAGAUGCUAACACCAUUUGUCUAGUCUAAAAAUCUCUGGGGUCCCACUUUCCAGAAAGGACAAACAUUACACAUGUAUUUUUUUUAGUCAUACAUCUUUGGUCUUGAAACAAAACAAUAACCAUUUUAUUAUAUUAAUGGAUUCUGUGUAUCAAAAAUUGGGAUUUUUCCGUGGGAAUGCCUGUCUUUGUUCCACAGUAUCAGGAGCCUCAGCUGGGAAGACUUGAAGCCUGGAAGUAAGUUGAUGACUGGAGGCUGGAAUCAUUUGAAGCCUAUUCACUCAUGUCUGGUGGUUGAUGCUGGCUUUCUUUCAGCUGAGAUCUUAGCUGGGACUCUAUGAUACAUGAAAUCUCUCCAAGUAACUGUUGGGCUUCUCUCUACAGCAGCAUGAGAGCAUGGGUAGAAAGAGCAAGUAUCCCCAGUCUACAGGGCAAAAAUGCAUUGCACUUAUGCAUCUACCUUCACAAGACAUAUAAAGUCAUUUCUGUACUCUCUUGGCUAGUAUAGUCACAAAGUACCACCCAGGUUCAUGUUGAAGGGGCAUAGAUCUAACACUAAAUGAAAGAAAUGACAAGGAUACAUUACAAAAACAUGUGGGAUGAAAGACAUGAUCGUGGCCAUUCCUGGAAUAUACAAUCUCCCAUGGUAUUACUACUCUGAAUUUGGUAUUUAACAUUUCCAUGUAUUUUCUCAAAAUUUAGUAUAUAUGCAUAGAGAAAUGAAAAUAUAAUACUUUUUGUGUCUUAAAAAUUUUUAUUUCACAAGCCGUGUUUUCCCCCUCAAUGUUAUUUUUAAGAUUGAUGCAGAUUGAUAUUAUGGCUCUAGCUCUUUCAUUUUAACUUUGAUAUGACAUCGUUUUGUAUAAGAAUGCCAGAAUUUAUUUAUUCCUACUCCUGCUUCUCUAUCUUAAAGUCCCAGCAAAAGAGAAUUUUCAGCACUCUUCAACACUGCCUGCAAUGAUGGCAUGGUACUCAAAGCGUUAAUUGUAAGUUGCUGUAAUAUGAUAACAGAAAAAAAUUGAAACAAUUUCAACCUCAAAAGUCCAGGUGAGGGGCACUUAGGUGGCUUAGUGGUUGAGUGUCUGCCUUCAGCUCAGGGUAUGAUCCUGGGAUCCUAGGAUUGAGUCCCACGUCAGGCUCCCCAUAGUGAGCCUGCUUGUCCCUCUACCUAUGUCUCUGCCUCUUUCUCUGUGUCUCUCAUGAACAAAUAAAUAAAAAUCUUUAAAAAAAUAAGUUCAGGUGAAUGUUGAACUUAUAAAUCCAAAACUGUUUUCUAAAAUUUUAAUAUGUAACACUUGUAAUGUCAUUAUAAAAUAACAAUGUUAAAUGAAUGAAUCAAUCAACCAGUCUCCUGAUGAUCAGCCAGGCAGUCAGUGAAUUCAAGGUUCUUCAUUAUCUGGAGACAAACUUUCCAACUUGACUUAUCACACUUCUUCCUCUGCUAAUAUUAGUGCCUCCCCUUGGAAUGCCUUCUAUUCCAAUCCAUUCCAAUUUCUGUCAGUUACAAACCUUUCCAUCCUUCAAGCUGCAUCUGAAAGUCAGUCUGGCAAAGUGACAAAGGCUCAGGCUCCCGAUUUAGACAAAUCUAGACUUAAAUAACCUGUUCAGCCACUUACAAACUUUAUAAAUUUAAAAAUGUUUUCUAGACUUCAGGGUUUUUUGCCCAUAAAAUACAGAUAAUAAUCUUAUUAACUUGGUAGACUUGUUUUAAAAAUUAAAAGAUAUAAUACAUAAAAAUGCUUAUUAAUGGUAGGUUUUCAAUAGAUAUUAGUUGAAUGGCAUUUCCUUCAUGACAUCUUCUUUGAAUACCACAUCCCAAUAGCAUAGAGAAGUAGUUCCCCCAAUUUUUUUGUUUAUUGGAGGAUCUUUUAAAAAAAUCCAAGUCCCAGGUUACAUCUCAGAACAAUUAGCCAAAUAACAAUUCCUCUGAGGGAGAAUCAGAGGAAUUUUUAAUUUUUGAAGUUUUCUACAUGAUUCCAAUGGGCAAACAAGCUUGGGAACUAUGGAUUCCCCAAUCUUUCUGUUCACAGAAGAAUCAUCUGAAAUAUUCACUAAAUUAUUAAAAGAGCCUCCAUCCCAGACCUAAGAAUCUGAAUCUUCAAAGCAGAGACACAGUAAUCUGUAUUGUUAAUAAGUGUCCUAGGUAAAUCUCACUAGUAGGCACAUACAGAAAUGAGGUAUUGGCAUUUUGGAUGUACUUCAAUUCAGAUUCUCUUAAUAAUUUAUAAGCUCUUUUUCAAUUUGGGAGAGUGUCUCUUUCAACUUUGUGUUUUCUAAUGUAGUGCUUACAUAUAUUAGGUAUGCAAUAAAUAUUCUUAGCUGAACUGAAUUAAGAAAAAUCAAAGUAAUUAUGAUAAACCCAUUCUGUAAUUAAAACAUUUCCAAUUUGUAUCAAAAAGUGAAGGUGAAACAUUAGUAUCCAAAGUGCAAACCCUUGUACAUAAUCUUAUAUCUGAAAAGUGCUAGCAUUAGCCUCAGCUUUGCCACCAUCAAGUUUCAGGAUCUUGGAAAGUCAUUCAGCUUCUUAGGGCCUCAGUUUCCUUAGUGGUCUAAUGCUGUACAUAAGCACAGAGUUAGGUAACCUCUCUAUAGUUUAUUCACUGCAAAUGCCAAACUAACUCCAAAUUUUAUAAAGUAUGCAUGAGGAGAAACAGAAGCUAUAUUUCUCUCUUUUAAAUUGCCUCCCUUAAUUUUUCUCCCUGAAAACAAUUCCAUUACUUUUCUACAGCCAAACAUUCUUCCCCUUUUAAUGCUGCUCUUUACUAUCUGCAGAUGAAAUGUGCUCAGAGCCUCAAUGCCACUGCCCUUCCCACAGGGGCGACAGCCUCCAGGGCUGCACUCUGCCAUCGGUACAUAUGUUUGUGCUUAUUUUUAUUCUGAGACUUCUCUCUCACUGUCUGGUUUGUGAAUUAUGUGUCUGCUUUCUGUUUCCUGCCAGAAUGUUCCCUCUUCAGCAGUCGGUCAUUUCUCAUCAGUAGAGAUACACAAUCAUCACCCUCAUUGGUAAUCCUCUCACUGUACCAAAUGAAAAACAUAUUUAUUUUUGUUGCUGUAUUUUAACCCCAUCUCUUCUCACUUUACAGUGAAUUUGGUUUUAAAAUUAAGAUGACCAAAAUACAAGAGCAGAUAUAGGAUGGUCUCUGGUCUUCCUACUCAAAAAUUAUAACAGAAAGGAUAGAAAAAUCAGCAAUUAACUGCCAAGUUACUUUUUAUUAAUUAGCUGGAAGAAAAAAAAUGUAUUGAUAUUUAAAAACUCAAUCUCAGCAGACUUGAAUGACUGCAAUACACACACACACAAGGAAUGAAAUAUGUGCUAAUAGGUACAAUUUUUAUAGUCAAUUGAUAAAAUUGAAAUUAUUGUUCCCAUUAUUUUCCAAAUGAAUUCAUACAUUUAAGGAUGAUUUAACUUUUUAACAUUUAGGACAAAAUGUAAUAUUAAAGGAAGUAAUAAAGACCAAAACAUAAGUAACUCCUGAUUUCAAAGUACUUUUAAAAGAAAAAUGUCAUUGGAUUAGAAUCAUGGUACAUAUCUCUUGUUUUUUUUUUUUUUUUUUUUUUUUUUUUUUUUUUUUUUUUUUUUUCAGUGUUGCCUUUGGGAACUGUGAUUGAAAAGGUUAUCCAAAAAAGGAGGUAAACUUUUAUAACUAAAUCUGACCUGGCCUUGGGACCAACACCUGUUUCAUUUCUUCAAUUGAUGGUCUAAAUGUUAGCUAAAGGUCAAAUGUCCAUGAUCAAUUUGUAGGUCAUUCAACUACCUGCAGUCACAAUGAGUCAUAUAAAAA